GCUAGACAUACCAGUUAAUAACAACCAGUUCAUGCAAUUGCGCAAAUAAUUCAGCUCUGUAAGUAUAAUCUCUGAGUGUGUGUGUGUGUGUGUGUGUGUGUUUCAGCUCUCCUCAGUACCGGACUGUCUCUCUGGAGCAGGGCUCUGCUGGUCCGGGCUUCGGCACAGUGGGAGGGAGCUUCGGUGGAGGACGGCCGUCUGCAGUGUGGCGAUAGGCUGGUGUCAGUCAAUGGGCGGAGUCUAGAAGGCAUCACGCACGGACUCAGAGGUUGUGAAGAUCCUAUAAGGUGCCAGAGGCAUAAUCACACUUACUGUACUCCUGCACACUCACACCAAACCCUGAUAAAUAGGAAUUAUUUAUAUGGACAGAUACAGCUCUGAAAAAAAUUAAGAGACCACUUCAGUUUUGCUAUUUAUAGGUAUGUUUGAGUAAAAUGAACAUUGUUGUUUUAACUGGUUUUUAAUCAGUUUUCAUGCAUCUUUGCAUGUUCUCCUCCACCAGUCUUCCACACUGCUUUUGGAUAAAUUUAUGCCACUCCUGGUGGAAAAAGCACUUCAAGCAGUUCAGCUUGGUUUGAUGGCUUGUGAUCAUCUAUUGUCCUUUUGAUGUUUAAGUGGUCUCUUAUUUCUUUCCACAGCAGUAUAUAGUGUAACUUAGGGAUUUCAUGCCUGAUUGUAAAUAUUCCCUUUAAAUCAGCUUAUAAAAAAACAUUUAUAUAAAUUACAUUUUUUACUAUGUCCAGGUGUUUUUAGGCCUGUGUGAAGUUCGUUAAUACCAUGACUAUCCAAUUUUCACGAGACAGGAAUUUAGUAUUGUAAGCAGUGGAAGCUACAGAACACUGCACUGUCCUGUGGGAUGUGUUUUCACACCAUACCUACCAUCCACUGUGCUCCCUAAAUUCAGGGUUUUUGUUUUCUUUCAUUAUUUUAAUAUUAUUUGAAUACUAUAGUCACCCAAACUAUAAAGAAAAAACAUAUGGAAUUUUAUUAUUAAAUAAAAAAAGUGCACCAUCCCCUGAGGUAACA
RNAcentral lists this long non-coding RNA (1026 nucleotides) under Astyanax mexicanus (Mexican tetra). RNAcentral's name for it is "lncRNA (ENSAMXG00005003225.1)". Lineage: Eukaryota; Metazoa; Chordata; Actinopteri; Characiformes; Acestrorhamphidae. The record is from RNAcentral.